Humulus lupulus (European hop) is the source of this 3137-nucleotide long non-coding RNA. RefSeq lists it as uncharacterized. The record is from RefSeq and is a predicted model, not a curated record. Lineage: Eukaryota; Viridiplantae; Streptophyta; Magnoliopsida; Rosales; Cannabaceae. The transcript has 2 exons.
UUUGAGCGUGCUUGACAUUCUUCUAAAUGUCUGUAUCAAAACUUGGGGCAAUUGGGGAACUUGGUCCUAUGAUUCUAGUGGUUUUUGAGAUUUGUGAUUAUUGUUGUAGUUGUUGUAAUUAUUAUUGGAAGUUGUGUCCUUGGGUGAGGGCCACUCUUUUGCCCUCUUGGGCCUUCCUCUAGUUAGUUUCUUGUAAGACUUUAUUUUUGUCGGCCUCUCUCCUUACAAAACUAUCCUCCUUCCAUAUGCAGUUUUCCAUGUACUUAUGGUCAUCUUGACAUCUAUUCCUUAUGUACUCGUCAUCAAGACAUCUCUUGCAAUGAUAAGCUUUUAGUCCUCUCAUAUGAACUCUCGUGACCUCCGUGGGAACUAUCUCAGGUGUAAAUUUUGCCAGCCAAAUUUCUGGGCAUCUAUAAAUGAAAGACUACCCUGUGUCAGCGUCAAAAAAUCAUCACCUCUCGAUGCUACUGGCGGCUAGCGCGGGAGGCUCGACGGAGACUGCGACGGGGCUCUACGCGAACCAGACCCCAAAACUUCAGGCGAGCCUUCUCCCCGACGUGAACCAAACCCCAAAAUCUUUAGGCCGCCCUUCUCCCUACACGAACAACGCCCCAAAAGCUUCACACCACCCUUCUCCCUACGCGACUUAUACUAGUUCAGGCCACCCUUUAAGAACAAAAAUGUGUGAGUGACAUGAACACAACUGCUGACGGCGAGCCUUGAGCGACCGAGAGAGAUUCUAGCUUUGUGGUAUCACUAAAACUUGCUACUUUUUUGGUGUUCUAUUAUUUGUUUGUUCCUUUUCGGCCACCAAUAGCAGUUGAUUUCUAUUACGCAAUUGAGUUUGUAUUGCUUGUCUUGCUAUGUCCAUUGUUUGUGUUUCAAGUUUCGGUUUUUGAAUUUAGGGGAAUUGAAAUGGGUAUCUUUUUCACUCAUUCUUGGAUUGGAUUGAUUUGAGUUAAAGUGAUUGAUUGAAAUGGGUUUAAUUGUGUUUUAUAAUUUUUGGAUUUAAUUUCCUUUUCAUUCGUAUUUGGUGUUUGAAUGAAUUAAUAAAUAGGACUGGGAAAGGAAUUCUGUGUAGUGGUUUCUCCAACUUCGGAUAAAUUUGGACAUUUGUUGGGCGAAUAGAUCAAAGAAAGAGAUAUUCACUGUUUUGAACCAUUGUGUUUGCUUGCAUAGUGUAUAUAACUUAUUGUGUUUGAAAAUCUUGAAAAACAAAUUGAUGUUGGUUUCAUCUUCAUUAUUUCUUCUAUUGGUAGUGUGUUCAAUAUGGUUUUGUUUAUCAGUUCUCUUAGGAUAAAGAUUUUCUAGGUUGUCCCAUUUUCAGUCAGGUAGUAUUUAUUUUUCUGUUAUCAAUUUGUAGAUAUGAAAAGCUGGUUUUCUGCUUUGUUAGCUAUUUAUUUGUGAUGAUUCUUUUGCUUUUGUUCAAGUGCUUUUGUAUUGAAGGUAUUCAUUUUGCUUUACAUUUGGCGUGUUUUAAGUUUUAACAACUGCUAUUAUCUUCUCUGUUAAUUUAUUUUGCCUUUGGACAAAGUAUCUACUGCUCUGUAGCCUCUCUCUUUUCGAUUUGGGAAUAAGAUAAUUGAAGUGCUUUUCUUUGUUAUUUGUUUAUUUGUUUCCCUUUUUGCUUUUAAUUUGCGAGAGCAUGAUUCCACUUAUCCCAAUUCAUUGCAGUUUUCUGAUAUCAUAUAGAUAGGAUAUAUGUAUAUGUGUUUUAAGUUAUUCUUUGGUAGUGUAAACACAGUUUUUUCUCUUAUUUUGCUAAUUUAUUUGAAUUGCACAGGCCAUAUGAGUUAUUGGGCUUAGUGUAUCAAUUAGCAUGAUGUUGAAUAUUGAGUUUAAUAAAUCUGUUUAUGGCAGGAGAACUAAAGAAGUUUCAAUAAUGGGGUUUGUUUUGUUUUUUAAAGGCUUGUAUAGAACCGCCGUACAAAACAACUUUAAAUUAGCUUUUCUAUUGAAGAAUUAUAUGUAUAUAUAUAUAUAUAUAUAUCAAUUUUAUGGAUAAGGUUUGCUUGUGUUAGCUCAGGCCUCAAUAUGUAAGAACAAUAGUAUGUUGUGGUUAAGUGAUGCUAAACAUUUAGGCUCUUGUCGGUUUAGAUAAUGAAAUUUGUUGGUAAAGUAUGUAUUAGUUUCCAAUCCGUGGAUUUUGUUGCUCAUGAGAGUAAUUUCAUUGUAGUUAUAAAGACACUAAUUCGAGAUUAAGAACAAAAGAGGUUAGUUUCAUUAACUCAACCAUGACAUCCAUACAACAGUUACAUUCUCUUAUUUUAUAGGAUUAGGAUGCUUUCUUUUUUUUUUGUCUAAUAUUAUACUUGAAGCAUAACAUAUAUAAUAGCAUGUCGGCAGGAACAGUGAUACUUGCCCAAGGACCCAAUUUUCAAGAUAUAAAAAAAGUAAUGCGACCCAAACAUGUAGCUGCAUUAUGCUCAAUAGUUGCGGCAAUUCAAAUGUGCACAGGCCUCUGCUGCACAUUUAUUAUUAAUAGUAACUCUCUGAUCUGCAUGGCAUGGAUUAAUUUUAUUGGUGGUUGUUAUCUAUAUCUAUGUUAUUGGUUGUUCUCCUUUUGGUAUUUGCGUUACAACUACUGAGAAGUGUGUAAAGUUCAGUGGUGGUAAGUUGCAUAAUCUGUUUUCUCUUAGAAACUUGGUUAAAAAAUGGAAGUACAUGCAAAACAAAAAUGGGCAUUAUUGAUUAUUACAUUGUUUUUAUGAUGAGAAAAUAAUGGAAGAUAAUUUGUAAAUGAAGUUUUAUGUUGAAUGCUAUAUGGAUAUUUGUUUUGUGUACAAAUAAACCAGAAGUCUUUAAUCAAACAUGCAGGUUCAUCAUGGUAGUGCAGGGACCACAGCUAUAGGACUAAAAGCAAGGGUAACAAUCUUUGCACUGGUUCUAAAGCAGGGGUAAUAAUCUUUGGAUGGGAAAUUGGAUUAGCUAAUAAAAUGAUUAUCCAUUUUCAUUUUUGUUGUCAGUUUAAUUCUGUUGCAUCAUUUAACAUCUAUAUAAUGAAAUAUAGUGUCCAACCAUUAUAGUCCUAUUUUUUGGAGAUCAAUUCUUUUGGGAUGAUAGAAUAUCAAAAACUAUUGGGACUCGCACUUGUACAUUAAUUAUAUAUUUCUAAAUGCAUAUGAGAGUGGAGUGUA